This 577-nucleotide ribosomal RNA is filed under the name uncultured archaeon. Its description in RNAcentral is "bacterial SSU rRNA". It matches the Rfam family "Archaeal small subunit ribosomal RNA", at positions 280 to 859 of the family's 1478-position model. The record is from RNAcentral.
GAGGAGGAGCCCGGAGAUGGGUACUGAGACAAGGACCCAGGCCCUAUGGGGCGCAGCAGGCGCGAAACCUCUGCAAUAGGCGAAAGCCUGACAGGGUUAUUCUGAGUGACUUUCGCUAAGAAAGUCUUUUGACACCUCUAAAAAUGGUGUAGAAUAAGGGGUGGGCAAGUCUGGUGUCAGCCGCCGCGGUAAUACCAGCACCCCGAGUGGUCGGGACGAUUAUUGGGCCUAAAGCAUCCGUAGCCGGUUUUACAAGUCCUCCGUUAAAUCCAACUGCUUAACAGAUGGGCCGCGGAGGAUACUAUAAGACUAGGAGGCAGGAGAGGCAAGCGGUACUCAGUGGGUAGGGGUAAAAUCCGUUGAUCCAUUGAAGACCACCAGUGGCGAAGGCGGCUUGCCAGAAUGCGCUCGACGGUGAGGGAUGAAAGCUGGGGGAGCAAACCGGAUUAGAUACCCGGGUAGUCCCAGCUGUAAACGAUGCAGACUCGGUGAUGGACUAGCUUCAUGCUAGUCCAGUGCCGCAGGGAAGCCGUUAAGUCUGCCGCCUGGGUAGUACGGUCGCAAGACUAAAACUUAA